GAGGGUAGGGCUCAGUGGUAGAGCGCGUGCUCAGCAUGCCCGAGGCCCUGGGUUCAGUCCCCAGCAUCCCCU
This 72-nucleotide transfer RNA is filed under the name Camelus bactrianus (Bactrian camel). It matches the Rfam family "tRNA". Rfam says of the family: Transfer RNA (tRNA) molecules are approximately 80 nucleotides in length. Their secondary structure includes four short double-helical elements and three loops (D, anti-codon, and T loops). The record is from Rfam by way of RNAcentral. Lineage: Eukaryota; Metazoa; Chordata; Mammalia; Artiodactyla; Camelidae. RNAcentral also lists the same sequence under 2 other names.